Molecule: ribosomal RNA, 1346 nt
Filed under: uncultured bacterium
Lineage: Bacteria
Description: partial 16S ribosomal RNA
Rfam family: Bacterial small subunit ribosomal RNA
Source: RNAcentral
GACGAACGCUGGCGGCGUGCUUAACACAUGCAAGUCGAACGGAAAGGCCCUGCUUUUGUGGGGUGCUCGAGUGGCGAACGGGUGAGUAACACGUGAGUAACCUGCCCUUGACUUUGGGAUGACUUCAGGAAACUGGGGCUAAUACCGGAUAGGAGCUCCUGCUGCAUGGUGGGGGUUGGAAAGUUUCGGCGGUUGGGGAUGGACUCGCGGCUUAUCAGCUUGUUGGUGGGGUAGUGGCUUACCAAGGCUUUGACGGGUAGCCGGCCUGAGAGGGUGACCGGCCACAUUGGGACUGAGAUACGGCCCAGACUCCUACGGGAGGCAGCAGUGGGGAAUAUUGCACAAUGGGCGGAAGCCUGAUGCAGCAACGCCGCGUGCGGGAUGACGGCCUUCGGGUUGUAAACCGCUUUCGCCUGUGACGAAGCGUGAGUGACGGUAAUGGGUAAAGAAGCACCGGCUAACUACGUGCCAGCAGCCGCGGUGAUACGUAGGGUGCGAGCGUUGUCCGGAUUUAUUGGGCGUAAAGGGCUCGUAGGUGGUUGAUCGCGUCGGAAGUGUAAUCUUGGGGCUUAACCCUGAGCGUGCUUUCGAUACGGGUUGACUUGAGGAAGGUAGGGGAGAAUGGAAUUCCUGGUGGAGCGGUGGAAUGCGCAGAUAUCAGGAGGAACACCAGUGGCGAAGGCGGUUCUCUGGGCCUUUCCUGACGCUGAGGAGCGAAAGCGUGGGGAGCGAACAGGCUUAGAUACCCUGGUAGUCCACGCUGUAAACGGUGGGUACUAGGUGUGGGGUCCAUUCCACGGGUUCCGUGCCGUAGCUAACGCUUUAAGUACCCCGCCUGGGGAGUACGGCCGCAAGGCUAAAAUUCAAAGGAAUUGACGGGGCCCCGCACAAGCGGCGGAGCAUGCGGAUUAAUUCGAUGCAACGCGUAGAACCUUACCUGGGUUUGACAUGGAUCGGGAGUGCUCAGAGAUGGGUGUGCCUCUUUUGGGGUCGGUUCACAGGUGGUGCAUGGCUGUCGUCAGCUCGUGUAGUGAGAUGUUGGGUUAAGUCCCGCAACGAGCGCAACCCUUGUUCACUGUUGCCAGCACGUUAUGGUGGGGACUCAGUGGAGACCGCCGGGGUCAACUCGGAGGAAGGUGGGGAUGACGUCAAGUCAUCAUGCCCCUUAUGUCCAGGGCUUCACGCAUGCUACAAUGGCUGGUACAGAGAGUGGCGAGCCUGUGAGGGUGAGCGAAUCUCGGAAAGCCGGUCUCAGUUCGGAUUGGGGUCUGCAACUCGACCUCAUGAAGUCGGAGUCGCUAGUAAUCGCAGAUCAGCAACGCUGCGGUGAAUACGUUCCCGGGGCU